This 709-nucleotide ribosomal RNA is filed under the name uncultured bacterium. RNAcentral describes it as "bacterial SSU rRNA". It matches the Rfam family "Bacterial small subunit ribosomal RNA", at positions 100 to 808 of the family's 1533-position model. The record is from RNAcentral.
GCACGGGUGAGUAACACGUAUCCAACCUGCCGAUGACUCGGGGAUAGCCUUUCGAAAGAAAGAUUAAUACCCGAUGGCAUAGUUCUUCCGCAUGGUAGAACUAUUAAAGAAUUUCGGUCAUCGAUGGGGAUGCGUUCCAUUAGGUUGUUGGCGGGGUAACGGCCCACCAAGCCUUCGAUGGAUAGGGGUUCUGAGAGGAAGGUCCCCCACAUUGGAACUGAGACACGGUCCAAACUCCUACGGGAGGCAGCAGUGAGGAAUAUUGGUCAAUGGACGAGAGUCUGAACCAGCCAAGUAGCGUGAAGGAUGACUGCCCUAUGGGUUGUAAACUUCUUUUAUACGGGAAUAAAGUGAGGCACGCGUGCCUUUUUGUAUGUACCGUAUGAAUAAGGAUCGGCUAACUCCGUGCCAGCAGCCGCGGUAAUACGGAGGAUCCGAGCGUUAUCCGGAUUUAUUGGGUUUAAAGGGAGCGUAGGCGGACGCUUAAGUCAGUUGUGAAAGUUUGCGGCUCAACCGUAAAAUUGCAGUUGAUACUGGGUGUCUUGAGUACAGUAGAGGCAGGCGGAAUUCGUGGUGUAGCGGUGAAAUGCUUAGAUAUCACGAAGAACUCCGAUUGCGAAGGCAGCCUGCUGGACUGUAACUGACGCUGAUGCUCGAAAGUGUGGGUAUCAAACAGGAUUAGAUACCCUGGUAGUCCACACAGUAAACG